Molecule: ribosomal RNA, 253 nt
Filed under: uncultured bacterium
Lineage: Bacteria
Description: partial 16S ribosomal RNA
Rfam family: Bacterial small subunit ribosomal RNA
Source: RNAcentral
UACGGAGGGGACUAGCGUUGUUCGGAAUUAUUGGGCGUAAAGCGCACGUAGGCGGAUUUGUAAGUCAGGGGUGAAAUCCCGGGGCUCAACCUCGGAACUGCCUUUGAUACUGCAAAUCUCGAGUCCGGAAGAGGUGAGUGGAAUUCCUAGUGUAGAGGUGAAAUUCGUAGAUAUUGGGAAGAACACCAGUGGCGAAGGCGGCUCACUGGCUCGUAACUGACGCUCAGGCGCGACAGCGUGGGGAUCAAACAGG